This 255-nucleotide ribosomal RNA is filed under the name uncultured bacterium. RNAcentral describes it as "partial 16S ribosomal RNA". It matches the Rfam family "Bacterial small subunit ribosomal RNA", at positions 524 to 776 of the family's 1533-position model. The record is from RNAcentral.
UACGGAGGGGGCUAGCGUUGUUCGGAAUUACUGGGCGUAAAGCGCACGUAGGCGGCUUUGUAAGUUAGAGGUGAAAGCCCGGGGCUCAACUCCGGAAUUGCCUUUAAGACUGCAUCGCUAGAAUUGUGGAGAGGUAAGUGGAAUUCCGAGUGUAGAGGUGAAAUUCGUAGAUAUUCGGAAGAACACCAGUGGCGAAGGCGACACACUGGCCCGUUACUGACGCUGAGGCGCGAAAAGCAUGGGGGAGCAAACAGG